AGCGCAUACGGUGGAUGCCUUGGCAGUCAGAGGCGAUGAAAGACGUGGUAGCCUGCGAAAAGCUUCGGGGAGUCGGCAAACAGACUGUGAUCCGGAGAUGUCUGAAUGGGGGAACCCAGCCAUCAUAAGAUGGUUAUCUUACACUGAAUACAUAGGUGUAAGAGGCGAACCAGGGGAACUGAAACAUCUAAGUACCCUGAGGAAAAGAAAUCAACCGAGAUUCCCUUAGUAGUGGCGAGCGAACGGGGACCAGCCCUUAAGUUGUAUUGAGAUUAGCGGAACGCUCUGGAAAGUGCGGCCAUAGUGGGUGAUAGCCCUGUACGCGAAAAUCCCUUUGCAAUGAAAUCGAGUAGGACGGGGCACGAGAAACCUUGUCUGAAUAUGGGGGGACCAUCCUCCAAGGCUAAAUACUACUGACUGACCGAUAGUGAACCAGUACCGUGAGGGAAAGGCGAAAAGAACCGCGGAGAGCGGAGUGAAAUAGAUCCUGAAACCGUAUGCGUACAAGCAGUGGGAGCCCACUUUGUUGGGUGACUGCGUACCUUUUGUAUAAUGGGUCAGCGACUUAUUUUCAGUGGCGAGCUUAACCGAAUAGGGGAGGCGUAGCGAAAGCGAGUCUUAAUAGGGCGUCUAGUCGCUGGGAAUAGACCCGAAACCGGGCGAUCUAUCCAUGGGCAGGUUGAAGGUUGGGUAACACUAACUGGAGGACCGAACCGACUACCGUUGAAAAGUUAGCGGAUGACCUGUGGAUCGGAGUGAAAGGCUAAUCAAGCUCGGAGAUAGCUGGUUCUCCUCGAAAGCUAUUUAGGUAGCGCCUCAUGUAUCACUGUAGGGGGUAGAGCACUGUUUCGGCUAGGGGGUCAUCCCGACUUACCAAACCGAUGCAAACUCCGAAUACCUACAAGUGCCGAGCAUGGGAGACACACGGCGGGUGCUAACGUCCGUCGUGAAAAGGGAAACAACCCAGACCGUCAGCUAAGGUCCCAAAGUCAUGGUUAAGUGGGAAACGAUGUGGGAAGGCUUAGACAGCUAGGAGGUUGGCUUAGAAGCAGCCACCCUUUAAAGAAAGCGUAAUAGCUCACUAGUCGAGUCGGCCUGCGCGGAAGAUGUAACGGGGCUCAAACCAUGCACCGAAGCUACGGGUAUCAUCUUAUGAUGAUGCGGUAGAGGAGCGUUCUGUAAGCCUGUGAAGGUGAGUUGAGAAGCUUGCUGGAGGUAUCAGAAGUGCGAAUGCUGACAUGAGUAACGACAAUGGGUGUGAAAAACACCCACGCCGAAAGACCAAGGUUUCCUGCGCAACGUUAAUCGACGCAGGGUUAGUCGGUCCCUAAGGCGAGGCUGAAAAGCGUAGUCGAUGGAAAACAGGUUAAUAUUCCUGUACUUCUGGUUAUUGCGAUGGAGGGACGGAGAAGGCUAGGCCAGCCUGGCGUUGGUAGUCCAGGUUUAAGGUGGUAGGCUGAGAUCUUAGGUAAAUCCGGGAUCUUAAGGCCGAGAGCUGAUGACGAGUGUUCUUUUAGAACAUGAAGUGGUUGAUGCCAUGCUUCCAAGAAAAGCUUCUAAGCUUCAGGUAACCAGGAACCGUACCCCAAACCGACACAGGUGGUUGGGUAGAGAAUACCAAGGCGCUUGAGAGAACUCGGGUGAAGGAACUAGGCAAAAUGGCACCGUAACUUCGGGAGAAGGUGCGCCGGUGAGGGUGAAGCAUUUACUGCGUAAGCCCACGCCGGUCGAAGAUACCAGGCCGCUGCGACUGUUUAUUAAAAACACAGCACUCUGCAAACACGAAAGUGGACGUAUAGGGUGUGACGCCUGCCCGGUGCCGGAAGGUUAAUUGAUGGGGUUAGCGCAAGCGAAGCUCUUGAUCGAAGCCCCGGUAAACGGCGGCCGUAACUAUAACGGUCCUAAGGUAGCGAAAUUCCUUGUCGGGUAAGUUCCGACCUGCACGAAUGGCGUAACGAUGGCGGCGCUGUCUCCACCCGAGACUCAGUGAAAUUGAAAUCGCUGUGAAGAUGCAGUGUAUCCGCGGCUAGACGGAAAGACCCCGUGAACCUUUACUAUAGCUUUGCACUGGACUUUGAAUUUGCUUGUGUAGGAUAGGUGGGAGGCUUUGAAGCGUGGACGCCAGUCUGCGUGGAGCCAACCUUGAAAUACCACCCUGGCAACUUUGAGGUUCUAACUCAGGUCCGUUAUCCGGAUCGAGGACAGUGUAUGGUGGGUAGUUUGACUGGGGCGGUCUCCUCCUAAAGAGUAACGGAGGAGUACGAAGGUGCGCUCAGACCGGUCGGAAAUCGGUCGUAGAGUAUAAAGGCAAAAGCGCGCUUGACUGCGAGACAGACACGUCGAGCAGGUACGAAAGUAGGUCUUAGUGAUCCGGUGGUUCUGUAUGGAAGGGCCAUCGCUCAACGGAUAAAAGGUACUCCGGGGAUAACAGGCUGAUACCGCCCAAGAGUUCAUAUCGACGGCGGUGUUUGGCACCUCGAUGUCGGCUCAUCACAUCCUGGGGCUGAAGCCGGUCCCAAGGGUAUGGCUGUUCGCCAUUUAAAGUGGUACGCGAGCUGGGUUUAGAACGUCGUGAGACAGUUCGGUCCCUAUCUGCCGUGGACGUUUGAGAUUUGAGAGGGGCUGCUCCUAGUACGAGAGGACCGGAGUGGACGAACCUCUGGUGUUCCGGUUGUCACGCCAGUGGCAUUGCCGGGUAGCUAUGUUCGGAAAAGAUAACCGCUGAAAGCAUCUAAGCGGGAAACUUGCCUCAAGAUGAGAUCUCACUGGAACCUUGA
This 2777-nucleotide ribosomal RNA is filed under the name Pseudomonas syringae pv. actinidiae. RNAcentral describes it as "bacterial LSU rRNA". It matches the Rfam family "Bacterial large subunit ribosomal RNA". Lineage: Bacteria; Pseudomonadati; Pseudomonadota; Gammaproteobacteria; Pseudomonadales; Pseudomonadaceae. RNAcentral also lists the same sequence under 1 other name. The record is from RNAcentral.